GACGAACGCUGGCGGCGUGCUUAACACAUGCAAGUCGAACGGAGCACCCUUAACUGAGGUUUCGGCCAAAUGAUAGGAAUGCUUAGUGGCGGACUGGUGAGUAACGCGUGAGGAACCUGCCUUCCAGAGGGGGACAACAGUUGGAAACGACUGCUAAUACCGCAUGACGCAUGACCGGGGCAUCCCGGGCAUGUCAAAGAUUUUAUCGCUGGAAGAUGGCCUCGCGUCUGAUUAGCUAGAUGGUGGGGUAACGGCCCACCAUGGCGACGAUCAGUAGCCGGACUGAGAGGUUGACCGGCCACAUUGGGACUGAGAUACGGCCCAGACUCCUACGGGAGGCAGCAGUGGGGAAUAUUGGGCAAUGGACGCAAGUCUGACCCAGCAACGCCGCGUGAAGGAAGAAGGCUUUCGGGUUGUAAACUUCUUUUGUCAGGGAAGAGUAGAAGACGGUACCUGACGAAUAAGCCACGGCUAACUACGUG
Molecule: ribosomal RNA, 482 nt
Filed under: uncultured bacterium
Lineage: Bacteria
Description: bacterial SSU rRNA
Rfam family: Bacterial small subunit ribosomal RNA
Source: RNAcentral